UUUCAGUAAUGUGUUGUUGUUACCUUGGAGCUUCCAUGGCUACGAGAAUGCUCGAUGAGUCGAUACUCGUGCAUAAUCCAGUUUGUUUUCGUGCCUUUUGGAGCUUUCCCGGCGUAGAAAACCAGAGCUUUUUUAAUCCCGACACGGUGACCAUCCGACAUGAUGAUCUUGUCGGUACCCGUUGCCUUCCAAUAACCUGACCCGGCAACUCUAUUGGGUCUUGACCCGUUCGGAUAUUUUCGAUCUCUUGGGCUAAAGAAAUAACACCAUACUAGAAUUGAAGUGUUGCUUACUUGGCAAAUCCCAAGGAUCGAACUUGUAGAGAUCGAUAUCUCCGAUGAUCUGGAGAGAGAAAUGGUAGCCUGCAACUUUCCGACAGAGAUACUGAACAAGAAGCUCUUCAUCUGUCGGGUAAAAACGAAAACCUGGAGGUAAGCUCAACUGGGCUAACGGAUCCUUCUCUCUAACUCCCAUUUUUUUCUCUACAGCAGAUAAAAUAAUGUGUUUAGAUGUUUAAGUUCGUCGAUCUCUUUUAGACAACCAUGCAAGUAGCUGCUUUAUAUAUAGGCUGUGGAAAAGACGGGCUCUUCGAGGAUAAGUACGGUCCUUCUUGUCUUACUGUAAAAUCUAAACACGAUUUUCUUUGUGGACCAUUUGGACCAUUGACAUACAGCCACGUACAUGCAACUGCCGACCUUGUCAGUGAGCUGUACAAUCUUUUCGACCGAGAUAAAUGUGCGUAAUAUUCCUGUGUGUAUGGUUUUUUAGUAUGAGAAAACAUUAUCGCAGUAAUUUUUUUUUUCUUGGUUCA
Molecule: long non-coding RNA, 811 nt
Organism: Brassica rapa (field mustard)
Lineage: Eukaryota; Viridiplantae; Streptophyta; Magnoliopsida; Brassicales; Brassicaceae
Source: RefSeq, a predicted model, not a curated record